AUUCUUGGAUUUAUGGAAGACGAACUACUGCGAAAGCAUUUGCCAAGGAUGUUUUCAUUGAUCAAGAACGAAGGUUAGGGGAUCGAAAACGAUCAGAUACCGUUGUAGUCUUAACAGUAAACGAUGCCGACUAGGGAUCGGACGAGGAUUUUUAAUGACUCGUUCGGCACCUGAAGAGAAAUCUUUAAGUCUAGGUUCGGGGGGGAG
This 207-nucleotide ribosomal RNA is filed under the name Ochromonas sp. CCMP1393. RNAcentral's name for it is "partial Eukaryotic small subunit ribosomal RNA". It matches the Rfam family "Eukaryotic small subunit ribosomal RNA", at positions 916 to 1123 of the family's 1831-position model. Lineage: Eukaryota; Chrysophyceae; Chromulinales; Chromulinaceae. The record is from RNAcentral.